RNAcentral lists this ribosomal RNA (950 nucleotides) under uncultured bacterium. RNAcentral describes it as "bacterial SSU rRNA". It matches the Rfam family "Bacterial small subunit ribosomal RNA", at positions 33 to 996 of the family's 1533-position model. The record is from RNAcentral.
GNCCNNGNNGGNNGCUUACACAUGCAGUCGAACGAGAACGGGUUAUAGCUUGCUAUAAUUGUCAGCUAAGUGGCGCACGGGUGAGUAAUGUAUAGGUAAUAUGCCUCUUACUAAGGGAUAACAAAUGGAAACGUUUGCUAAUACCUUAUACUCCUUAUUAACUAAAGUUAGUAAGGGAAAGAUUUAUUGGUAAGAGAUUGGCCUGUAUUGUAUCAGUUAGUUGGUGGGGUAAUGGCCUACCAAGACUAUGACGCAUAACUGGUUUGAGAGGAUGAUCAGUCACACUGGAACUGAGACACGGUCCAGACUCCUACGGGAGGCAGCAGUGGGGAAUAUUGCACAAUGGACGAAAGUCUGAUGCAGCAACGCCGCGUGGAGGAUGACACAUUUCGGUGCGUAAACUCCUUUUAUAUAAGAAGAUAAUGACGGUAUUAUAUGAAUAAGCACCGGCUAACUCCGUGCCGGCAGCCGCGGUAAUACGGGGGGUGCAAGCGUUACUCGGAAUCACUGGGCGUAAAGAGCAUGUAGGCGGAUUGAUAAGUUUGAAGUGAAAUCCUAUAGCUUAACUAUAGAACUGCUUUGAAAACUGUUAGUCUAGAAUGUGGGAGAGGUAGAUGGAAUUUCUGGUGUAGGGGUAAAAUCCGUAGAGAUCAGAAGGAAUACCGAUUGCGAAGGCGAUCUACUGGAACAUUAUUGACGCUGAGAUGCGAAAGCGUGGGGAGCAAACAGGAUUAGAUACCCUGGUAGUCCACGCCCUAAACGAUGUACACUAGUUGUUGUGAGGCUAGACCUUGCAGUAAUGCAGUUAACACAUUAAGUGUACCGCCUGGGGAGUACGGUCGCAAGAUUAAAACUCAAAGGAAUAGACGGGGACCCGCACAAGCGGUGGAGCAUGUGGUUUAAUUCGACGAUACACGAAGAACCUUACCUGGACUUGACAUAGUAAGACU